Molecule: long non-coding RNA, 905 nt
Organism: Paramisgurnus dabryanus
Lineage: Eukaryota; Metazoa; Chordata; Actinopteri; Cypriniformes; Cobitidae
Source: RefSeq, a predicted model, not a curated record
AAUUUUCAGGGAUGGUGUUAAAUACACAGUGUUGAUGUUGUUUUAACACUAUCUGGUAAUAAAAUAACACUGCCAUUGCUAGGCCAGUGUUAUAUUCACGACAGUGUCGGUGUAAAACAAGGGUGUUAUCAGAUUUCACUCUGAGCGGUGUAAAUCAAGCCACGCCUCCACUAAACAUAUCCUGUCAGGGAUUUUACCGCCAUUUUCUUUCACAGGAGGACUGAAGAGAUCAGAUGCUAGUUUGGUGAAAGUUCACACUGAGUGCUUCAAAUCAUUCAGAAGAGAUGCUGUUUUUAGGGCAGUUUAUUAAAGAAGACCUGACAUGGAUGACUUCCAAUGAGAAACGACUGCUAAUACUUAUAUAAAUUCAUUACAGAAGGACCCUACCAGACUAUAUUUGAAUACGGCAUACCCAUGAAUUCUGGAACUGUUAUUCCUUAACCCAGUUUGGAGGAUAAGAGCUUACCAACUAGUUAUAAAUAUGCUGAGGUGAUGUAUUGCAAAAUAGCCAACAUACAACAAUUAAAAGAUAAUUGCAGACUACAUCCUGAUGAAGAUAUGGAUGACCCUCUGUCUGGUCAACAGGAGUUUAAAUAUGGACGGGACAGUUAUGUGGCAGCUCUUCCCUGGCUCAUUCACCUCUUGCCUUUCAUUUGUGAAAGGAAGAAAGAAGAAAGAGGGUCAAUGUGCAACUGAAGCUACUGAUUGUACGGUGUGAUGAGCAUCAAUCCAUGCUUUGAGGUGGAUGAAUCAGCACAGCCCUGCCUGCACUGGGUUGGGAACAGAAGUUGCAUCCAGAAUUUUUGCAUCAUUCUGGACCAAAAAGCCAUUCCCUCCAUGAUGAAGACCACUGAUGCAGCCUUCCACUACAUCAUGAGUAAAACAACUACAGAACUAAAUACCAG